RNAcentral lists this ribosomal RNA (497 nucleotides) under uncultured bacterium. RNAcentral describes it as "partial 16S ribosomal RNA". It matches the Rfam family "Bacterial small subunit ribosomal RNA", at positions 28 to 507 of the family's 1533-position model. The record is from RNAcentral.
GAUGAACGCUGGCGGCGUGCCUAAUACAUGCAAGUCGAGCGAACGGACGAGAAGCUUGCUUCUCUGAUGUUAGCGGCGGACGGGUGAGUAACACGUGGAUAACCUACCUAUAAGACUGGGAUAACUUCGGGAAACCGGAGCUAAUACCGGAUAAUAUUUUGAACCGCAUGGUUCAAAAGUGAAAGACGGUCUUGCUGUCACUUAUAGAUGGAUCCGCGCUGCAUUAGCUAGUUGGUAAGGUAACGGCUUACCAAGGCAACGAUGCAUAGACGACCUGAGAGGGUGAUCGGCCACACUGGAACUGAGACACGGUCCAGACUCCUACGGGAGGCAGCAGUAGGGAAUCUUCCGCAAUGGGCGAAAGCCUGACGGAGCAACGCCGCGUGAGUGAUGAAGGUCUUCGGAUCGUAAAACUCUGUUAUUAGGGAAGAACAUAUGUGUAAGUAACUGUGCACAUCUUGACGGUACCUAAUCAGAAAGCCACGGCUAACUACGUG